RNAcentral lists this long non-coding RNA (207 nucleotides) under Elaeis guineensis (African oil palm). RNAcentral describes it as "long non-coding RNA (EGUI_LNC023017)". Lineage: Eukaryota; Viridiplantae; Streptophyta; Magnoliopsida; Arecales; Arecaceae. The record is from RNAcentral.
CUUCCCUUUAUCAAUCUAGUCAUGCCUAGAAUGGGGUACAGCCGCCUAAGGAAUAGAGGCUAUAGUUACAAGCUAUUUUGGAGCACGUCUAAGACCUUCUACACUAUUUUGAGGAGAUAGUUGCUCUCCCAAAAUCCUAACUAAUGGUAUGGAUAUUGAGGGCCCUCGAGGGACCUCUCUGGAUGAGCCAAAUACUUACUGAAACAA